Medicago truncatula (barrel medic) is the source of this 87-nucleotide microRNA precursor. It matches the Rfam family "MIR2617 microRNA precursor family". Lineage: Eukaryota; Viridiplantae; Streptophyta; Magnoliopsida; Fabales; Fabaceae. The record is from Rfam.
UUGUAGUGUGACAUGCCCGUUUUUGGGAUUUACUCUGAUGUUAUUUAUUAUUAAAUUGAUUUUGGAAAACGGGGUGUUACAAUGACA